This is a long non-coding RNA of Astatotilapia calliptera (eastern happy), 501 nucleotides long. The record is from Ensembl. Lineage: Eukaryota; Metazoa; Chordata; Actinopteri; Cichliformes; Cichlidae.
UACAGUGACACACGAAUGGGUGCGUCAGGAUAGUCAGUAAAGUUUUCUUUAGAGCUGGAACAUAAAACAUUUGUUUUGAAGAACGAGUCUGUUAAAACUGGGUCAUUUCACAGUGACGGAGAAACAUCACAAAGCUGUGCCGGAGCAUAUACUCUCCAUGUUGGAAACUCCGGAGGUGAAAACCAGUUACUCAUGAAAUGAAGUCAUGUGUUGAGUCUGGCGGUGCCGCACGUGUUUCCUGUGGAGACGAAUAGCCAAGCUUACCUCGUUUUUUUCUCCCUGUCCAUAUUGCAUCAUCGCUGUCUUGUUGAGGCAGCAUCACCCACUAGGAGGACGCAUCCACACCACCCCACUGUGCUCGCGCCUCACUGGCACUGCAGCCGUGUCUUGGAGGGAUAGCAAAAUGCCAGCCCUUAUUCGCUCCUCGCAAACAGCUACCAGCUAUCGCGCUCCUCUGAAAAGCACCCGUGAAAAAACCAGCGGGGAACGUUUGACAGCCAA